AUGAAAGCUCAGCCUUUUAUGACUCUACUAAUAACUUUCUCAUUUAACAAUCAUGUCCUUCCAUUUGUCACAGGGGCGUGGUCACACAGUAUCGUUCUAGAAGACUCCACGAAAAUCAGAAUUAAUUCAUCCUCGGAAAAGGAAAGGGGAAAACCCAUUCUUCUCCAAUUACUCCAAUUCCAAUGUAAUUGGAGUCUUAGAGGACAAAUCUCAGAGUGUAUUCUGAGGCAUAAAAACGGACCAACAGGACGUACCAGCUUACAGCAUGAAUGUCAACAGCCACAGGAAUGGCCACUCUCAACCGUGUGGAAAUUGCCAUUGCCACGGGCUUCAGGACGAGCUGGGUGGGUCCCUGUGGCCUCAUACAGAGCGACACCACUCGCGUAGACGAAUGACUACCAGCCUCCUCAGCCACAGCCUGGUGUCCUGCCACGGUCUCCCUCGGGGCUCUCCCCUCUUCGGCAUGCUCCUCCUAGAACAUUGCUGUUGUCGUUAAUUACAACACAGGAGAAGCCAGAAGACUGUCAAGCUCCUCACUUCUCAGCGUGGGUGCCCAGGCUCAGCCCCACUCGGGCUUGCAGAGCACCUUCACUGGAGCCCAAGACCUCCCCUAAUUGGCUGUACAAAUUUACAUGUGAUCUGAAUCAAAAAUAGAUGCGUGCAAUGCAAGUCCUUGCCUGGGCUCGCUUUGUAUAGCACCCAGAACGGUGUCUUACUCAUAGGGGUGCUUAAUAAGCACCAUUUCAGAAGAACCUUCCUUGUCAGUUGUCAUCUUUGACAACAAAAGCCCUUGGUUGUUCAGCUUCCUUCUUACCCAAAAAUACAGAGCCGGCUAAGGUGACAUUCCAGAACUUUGUGUGCUCACUGCCCACCUCGGACCUCCCUUUGAGAGUCCUAGUGUAAUUACAAGCUCACGUCUGCCUCCUUUAGAAAAAUUUAGGAAGAGAAAUUUAGGCAGAGUCCAGAAUCAUUCUGGAAAUCGUCUCCCUCCUCCAUCCCCAGCCCUUUUUCAUCCUGUGCAGUGGUGGUGGUGGUGGGGGGGGGGACCCAGGGCGUGUGUAGGGCCACCAAGCACUUCACUGUAUUCAUUGCAAAGGGCUUGAUCCAAUCACAGGCUGAGGAAGAACUCCUGGGGAGAUGAAUGCCAUUACAAAUCUUGCCCUCGACAUGAAACGCCAGUGAUUGUUUAUUAAAUUGCUCUUCAAAGAGAAAACACUGGCAGGCAAAUAUCAUUAAAACGGAAGCAAAGGGAAAUGCCGUAACCUUCAACAUGGCGCUUUUCUCCAUUACCCUCAGACCACUACGACUGGAAUGGCCAGUAGGAACUUCUGGCCCUGAGCCCCAUCAGUUACCUUCAUCUCAGCCCAGGGAGGGGUAACACAAACCACCCAGUUUUAGUACUUCCAAAUACCGCCAUGAGAAAAAACGACCCCCCAAACCCUUAACCUAAGUCCACUGUCUCAACUGCAGUGGAAGACAAAUUGUAUCAUACAUGAGUAACAUUAAAACAUAAAAGACAUACCCUCCAGUGAAAACCUUGCACAACUUUACCGAGUAAGCAGAAUUAAUCAUAGGGAACAAUUACCAUUCCUGGUCUGAAUAUUUAUGACAUAACAGAAAGCCCAUUUAAAAUACUUAGUAGCUCGUAAUUUUAAAAAGAGCCACAGGGAGAGGGGGAGCCAUGCUAAGUGUAUGAUGAAAAGGGGCAGGGGAGGACAGCUUCUUUCUUAAUCCUCCUCUCCUGUUGGUGCUCCCCACACAUCCUUCUCCCUCCUCCCCUCCUGUAUCCUCAUACCUUUUGUCAUCACCUUUGAUAAUGGCCUGCUGGACAGCAAUGGAAAGAUGGGACACAUGCUAACAGCCUCUGUCCCCACCAGUUCCUUAUCCGUUCCAGGUGUCUCCACCGUCCUCCCAUCUACCCACUCUCCAGUGGCCGUGUAGCAGGUAUCUGCAUGUUGAAAUGGAAAUGACACUGGACGAGGAGUCAUUGCUCUGGCUCUAUCACAAACCUCUGUGAUCCUAGACAUGACCCACAACUGCGGAUCUAUAAGGCUUUGGACUGGAAAACUCUAGGUUUCCUUUUGCUUCUAUGGACAUAUGAGUUCUUUGAUUCAAGUAAUUUCUAAAUAAAUGGAUUCAUUCACUCA
This 2147-nucleotide long non-coding RNA is filed under the name Felis catus (domestic cat). RNAcentral's name for it is "lncRNA (ENSFCAG00000052227.1)". The record is from RNAcentral. Lineage: Eukaryota; Metazoa; Chordata; Mammalia; Carnivora; Felidae.